UGCAAGUCGAACGAUGAAGCCCAGCUUGCUGGGUGGAUUAGUGGCGAACGGGUGAGUAACACGUGAGUAACCUGCCCUUGACUCUGGGAUAAGCCUGGGAAACUGGGUCUAAUACCGGAUAGGAACGUCCACCGCAUGGUGGUUGUUGGAAAGAUUUAUCGGUCAUGGAUGGACUCGCGGCCUAUCAGCUUGUUGGUGAGGUAAUGGCUCACCAAGGCGACGACGGGUAGCCGGCCUGAGAGGGUGACCGGCCACACUGGGACUGAGACACGGCCCAGACUCCUACGGGAGGCAGCAGUGGGGAAUAUUGCACAAUGGGCGAAAGCCUGAUGCAGCGACGCCGCGUGAGGGAUGACGGCCUUCGGGUUGUAAACCUCUUUCAGUAGGGAAGAAGCGAAAGUGACGGUACCUGCAGAAGAAGCACCGGCUAACUACGUGCCAGCAGCCGCGGUAAUACGUAGGGUGCGAGCGUUAUCCGGAAUUAUUGGGCGUAAAGAGCUCGUAGGCGGUUUGUCGCGUCUGUCGUGAAAGUCCGGGGCUUAACCCCGGAUCUGCGGUGGGUACGGGCAGACUAGAGUGCAGUAGGGGAGACUGGAAUUCCUGGUGUAGCGGUGGAAUGCGCAGAUAUCAGGAGGAACACCGAUGGCGAAGGCAGGUCUCUGGGCUGUAACUGACGCUGAGGAGCGAAAAGCAUGGGGAGCGAACAGGAUUAGAUACCCUGGUAGUCC
Molecule: ribosomal RNA, 728 nt
Filed under: Micrococcus sp. M55-6N
Lineage: Bacteria; Bacillati; Actinomycetota; Actinomycetes; Micrococcales; Micrococcaceae
Description: bacterial SSU rRNA
Rfam family: Bacterial small subunit ribosomal RNA
Source: RNAcentral